This 457-nucleotide long non-coding RNA is filed under the name Erythranthe guttata (spotted monkey flower). Its description in RNAcentral is "long non-coding RNA (EGUT_LNC002772)". The record is from RNAcentral. Lineage: Eukaryota; Viridiplantae; Streptophyta; Magnoliopsida; Lamiales; Phrymaceae.
UAAUACACAGUUCAGACGUAGAAAAUUAUUAAAAAUCAAAGGAAAAGCGGCGAAAUAUCUACCACCAACACCUAUGAAUAGAUUCAGGCAAAAUUCUAACGGUACAGAACAACAUAUUAAAAUCACCAGUUAAAGUCAAUCAAAAUGGAAAAAAAACUACAACAUAGAGAAUAAAGGCUUCGUCAAGCAACAACAAAAAAGCAAAGCCCCGGCCACAUGCAGUGGUAUGAUCCUAUCCUUUACCGUCAAGGCGUCAAGUAAUUCGUUUAAUGCUAGGAAAUACGCCACCAUGAAUUUGUCAAUAAUCUCCCGAUAAAUUCCUCCAAUGAACAACAGCUUCCCAUCUUCCAUUUCUUGCUUCCAUUUCUUGUAUCUGCAUACAUGAUUGUCGAUCGACCAAUUAAUUUGCAGUUUAGAUAUCUACUCCAAUGAGCCGAUAUACAUAGAAUCAAUGUAC